GGCGGGGUAGCUCAGUCUGGCAGAGCAAACGGCUCAUAAUCGUUGUGUCGCCGGUUCAAGUCCGGCCCCCGCUACCA
Molecule: transfer RNA, 77 nt
Filed under: Mycobacteriales bacterium
Lineage: Bacteria; Bacillati; Actinomycetota; Actinomycetes; Mycobacteriales
Also listed under: 2 other names
Description: tRNA-Met
Rfam family: tRNA
About the family: Transfer RNA (tRNA) molecules are approximately 80 nucleotides in length. Their secondary structure includes four short double-helical elements and three loops (D, anti-codon, and T loops).
Source: RNAcentral